UUGUAGGCUAGACUGCAGGACAGGAGUUGUGGGGAGCACAGGGGUUGUUGUCAGCUUUGCACAGAUCCCUUUCUGCAGGAGCUGGAGGUAAUUCUCAGAAGUUUUGUGUCAAUGUGGCUGCCAGCAUUGGGAGGAUGAGUAAUUUCUGAGAGAAGGACUGCGUAACAAUAUUGACCUCUGCCAAAUGCCCUGGCCAUGUAGCAACACACGGCGCAGUACCCAGCACGCCAUGGCCUUGUUGCACACUCAUUCUGCAUGGCCAUGCCAAGGAGAACCAUGUGUGCCAGGCGGCCUCCGAGAUGGCCGGCCAGCAACGGAGGUCCCCCACGGCUGCCUUUUGCAUGUCAGUGCUAGGACCGGGCCUAUGGGCUGGCCUCCAUCGCACUUGCACCAGAGUAACGAUUGAAUUCAGACCCAAGUAAGCCCACUGACCUCAGCUGCGUUUCUCCAGUUCAUGCUGAUGCAGCCAAGAUUGGGUGUGACCUCUGUGUGAGAUGAAAUAUUACUGGUUGAGUGUUCCUCCCUUGCGUUCAUUCGGAGCCAAAGGCCUAUGAUGGACAGUCCUAUGCUAAUGAGAUAAUACGAUAUACUAUCCAGCCAUCAGAUUGGACUGAGUAUCAUCAUUUCCAGGAAGAUCUGUAGUUGAAAUUGUCCUGGCUGUAUGUGUUGUCCUGAUGUCAACUGGCAAAUGACAAAACCAGCCUGGCAAUGAAGAAGCUCAUAAAGAAACAACGUUCUGCAGCCCCAGCAGACGGCGCGUCCUUCAUUCCUUCAAGAUGCUAGCAAAGACAUUCACUUCAGCAGAGGUCUCCAUAUGGGAAAUACUGGAAGAAUUCAGUCAUUUAGCUAACUUUGUUAGUGGGCAUAAAAUAAGGAAAACAAACUGUCUUUCACCUGUCCUUCAAACCAACAUCUGCUGAGAAGACUUUUUUUUAGAGAUUAAUGCAACGGUGAAUAAGAUAAUUGACUUAAUUGUCUUAAACUGCCCCUCCCUAAAUAGGAGCUCUUGGAGGCACUGUUUCCUCUAGAAAAGAAGAGAGAAAAGCCAAGAAAAGCAAAAGACUUCUGAAGAGACUUCUGUUCUCAGAAUUUAGUUUCCAACAGCGAUACACAGUGAUACUGUAGAGAAUGACACAGAAGUGACAGAAGCAUUAUCAGCAUGUUUUUAGCUAUGAAAACUCCUCAGUUUCAAAACUGAAACACUCAAGGUAAUUCAUAACUGAAGCUGGGAUGCAGUGGAACAAUGUAUUAGGGAACUCAUGAAAGGAUUUCAACAAGUAACAUCUUAUUAUAGCUGUAGAUAGGAAGUAAGGAAGAAAAAUCCAUAUUCCUAACAAGUGGUGUGGUAGGAAAUAGGAACGUUUUUCGCUUAGGGAAGAGUAGGAAAAAAUAGGAAUACAUUUAAUUUCCUAGAAUAUCUGUGCCUGAAAGAAGAAAUUCUAAAAAUAACUGAUUAACAAGACAUUAUUUAACCUAUUAAUUACUAUACAAGCAAAUUAACAAUGAUCAAAUGCUUUAAACAACAACAACAAAAAUAAACAAAUAAACUAACAAAACCAGACCACCUUCAAAAAGGUUCAAAAUGUUCAAAAUGAGACCACCUUCACAUUUUAAGAUCAUAUCAAAAAAGAUUUUUAAAAAGACAUCUGCAAAGUAAACCCAGUUUAAAGCUGAGUCACAGUUUGAAGGACUCCUUCUCCAGGUAAGGACAAGAGAUCAUGCUAUGGAAUACGCAGUGUGCAAAAACACUACAACUGCUAAAACUAUCAAAGGAGCAUCAACAUUUUGGCAUUUAUUUUCAUUAUUUUGAACGCACAAUUUUGCCAAUUACUGUGUUUCGUUUUGUUUUUAAAUAAUAUAUAUUUUUAAACAUGCCAAGUCCACUAAAUUUUAUUUAAAAUCAUACCGACUUACAUAUGUACUGUCACUGCCAUUACAAAGUCCUUGUAUUUAUUUAUUUACAGCAACUCUACUUAUUGACUGAAAUAUCUUCUUUUCUAGAUUAAAGUGCUGUCUGUUCAUUACAUACCACCUGAAUAAGUUUUGAUAUAGGAAGAAAAAAGACAGUCUGGAAAAUGUUCAUUAAUGUUUUGAAGUGGGCCACACAUUCUGAUACUAAGAAUGCCCACAGACGCAUUGUCCAUAAUGUUGCUGCUUUCCAAUGAAGUCAGUUCCCUCUAUACUUGCUGCUUAACUGUUAAAGCCUUUCUGACUGUCUUCUUUCAAGGUCUAUGUUUUGCUGUAAUAUCUACUUGUUUGUUGGGUUUGGGGUUUUGACUUUGGGUUUUGUUGUUGUUCUUGGUUUUUGUUUGUUUGGUUUUGUUUCUGUUUUUGAGCAUCCUCCUUUAUUUUGAUCUCCCUUGGAUCAUUGCCACCCUGAACACUAAUGUUGAUUUCACAUAGUGAAGAGAUGCUCUUUACUAUUAUUAAAGUAUUAAAGAAAGUUUGUAUCACAUUUUGCACAAAUCCUAAUACAUACUACAACACUAGUUAGCUGUUACAAAGGAAUUAAAUAUUUUAAUACAAAGAUGCCUAAGCUUAGAAUUUCAUUGCUACUUUUCUUGUUACUAUAAUUUUUUAUUUUAUUUUUUGAUUAGAUAACUGUUCUGUUUAUAAUAAAGUUCUCUGUGAAAUUCUG
This is a long non-coding RNA of Anas platyrhynchos (mallard), 2638 nucleotides long. RefSeq lists it as uncharacterized. The record is from RefSeq and is a predicted model, not a curated record. Lineage: Eukaryota; Metazoa; Chordata; Aves; Anseriformes; Anatidae.